This is a long non-coding RNA of Acanthopagrus latus (yellowfin seabream), 924 nucleotides long. RefSeq lists it as uncharacterized. The record is from RefSeq and is a predicted model, not a curated record. NCBI's taxonomy places the organism in Eukaryota, Metazoa, Chordata, Actinopteri, Spariformes, Sparidae. The transcript is spliced from 3 exons.
UGGGUUACGACUCCAUUAUUGUCUAUUAACUUCUAUCAGAUUGUGCACUGAAUAACAAGCUGGUGGUGAACAGUGAGGAUGAAUACAGAGGCUUUAGUUUCAGUCGGGCACCAACACUCAGCAGUAGGCUGAUGAUGGAGACGAGAUCUGCUGCCGUGUCCUCAAACAAGACACAUUAUGAGGACAUGGAUCACAUCAGAAAGAGACUGUGUUGGGAAUACAGUAUAGAUUUAACAUAAAGAGCACCGAUCUCUUUUCUUCAGUGUGUGUGAGCUGCUGGAACAUCCUGUCACACUCCGUCUCUCUGUGGAAUAAGAACCAGCAGGUGACACAGACCAUCAGCUCCACUACAUGAGUGUAGAAACCAGAGGAGCUCCGUCAGUGGAGCUGAGCUGAGCCUCAUGUGGUCGUUCAGUCCAGACUGGACUCGGUGCUCGUGUCCUCCGCUGGACUCUUGGCAGUCAGUAACUACUUCUUGACUAAGCUGCUCUCAGUCAGCAGUUCUCCUCAGAUCAACAUCACAGUAUCUGAACACAACUGUGUGAAACAUCAAGGACCAGUGAACAUCUGACUCGUUCUGCAGCUCGUUUGCUUUGUACCAGACUGUGAAGCUGCAGCGCUCUAACUGAGACAAAAGGCCUGAUGGGAAACAUCUUCACCAGAUAUUCAUUUAGAGGCUUCUUCACUUUCUUCAGACAUCGUUCAACACGGUUCAGCAAAAUGCAGCGUACCAAUACUGAGAGGGUUGGAUCUGUGAAACAGAAUAUACAGAGUGAUAUCAGAGUGAGGAGGUGGAUCCUUCUGGGAAACACUUUGUUCAAAAUGCAUUAAGAGAAAACUGCUGAUCCUCUUAAACCAAGAUUCAUUUAUAAUGAGUAGGAACAGAAGAAGGAACAGGAAGUUGUUGACAGAUUUAAACUUCAC